UGCGGACAGUGUCUGGUGGGUAGUUUGACUGGGGCGGUCUCCUCCUAAAGAGUAACGGAGGAGCACGAAGGUUGGCUAAUCCUGGUCGGACAUCAGGAGGUUAGUGCAAUGGCAUAAGCCAGCUUGACUGCGAGCGUGACGGCGCGAGCAGGUGCGAAAGCAGGUCAUAGUGAUCCGGUGGUUCUGAAUGGAAGGGCCAUCGCUCAACGGAUAAAAGGUACUCCGGGGAUAACAGGCUGAUACCGCCCAAGAGUUCAUAUCGACGGCGGUGUUUGGCACCUCGAUGUCGGCUCAUCACAUCCUGGGGCUGAAGUAGGUCCCAAGGGUAUGGCUGUUCGCCAUUUAAAGUGGUACGCGAGCUGGGUUUAGAACGUCGUGAGACAGUUCGGUCCCUAUCUGCCGUGGGCGCUGGAGAACUGAGGGGGGCUGCUCCUAGUACGAGAGGACCGGAGUGGACGCAUCACUGGUGUUCGGGUUGUCAUGCCAAUGGCACUGCCCGGUAGCUAAAUGCGGAAGAGAUAAGUGCUGAAAGCAUCUAAGCACGAAACUUGCCCCGAGAUGAGUUCUCCCUGAGACUUAG
RNAcentral lists this ribosomal RNA (580 nucleotides) under Salmonella enterica. RNAcentral describes it as "partial 23S ribosomal RNA". It matches the Rfam family "Bacterial large subunit ribosomal RNA", at positions 2246 to 2824 of the family's 2925-position model. Lineage: Bacteria; Pseudomonadati; Pseudomonadota; Gammaproteobacteria; Enterobacterales; Enterobacteriaceae. RNAcentral also lists the same sequence under 2 other names. The record is from RNAcentral.